RNAcentral lists this unclassified non-coding RNA (89 nucleotides) under Pseudomonas frederiksbergensis. Lineage: Bacteria; Pseudomonadati; Pseudomonadota; Gammaproteobacteria; Pseudomonadales; Pseudomonadaceae. The record is from RNAcentral.
UGUGGGAGCGAGCCUGCUCGCGAUGACGGCAGCACAUUCAGCCUUUCAGUGACUGCCAGACCGCCAUCGCGAGCAGGCUCGCUCCCACA